Molecule: unclassified non-coding RNA, 351 nt
Filed under: soil metagenome
Description: partial contains 5.8S ribosomal RNA, internal transcribed spacer 2, and large subunit ribosomal RNA
Rfam family: 5.8S ribosomal RNA (bases 1-119)
Source: RNAcentral
GAUGAAGACGUAGUGAAAUGCGAUAAGUAAUGUGAAUUGCAGAAUUCAGUGAAUCAUCGAAUCUUUGAACGCACAUUGCGCCCGCCAGUAUUCUGGCGGGCAUGCCUGUUCGAGCGUCAUUUCAACCCUCAGGCCCCCAGUGCCUGGUGUUGGGGAUCGGCCCAGCCUUCCUGUAAGGCCGCCGGCCCCGAAAUCUAGUGGCGGUCUCGCUGUAGUCCUCCUCUGCGUAGUAGCACAACCUCGCAGUUGGAACGCGGCGGUGGCCAUGCCGUUAAACACCCCACUUCUGAAAGUUGACCUCGGAUCAGGUAGGAAUACCCGCUGAACUUAAGCAUAUCAAUAAGCGGAGGA